This 74-nucleotide transfer RNA is filed under the name Thermoplasmata archaeon M8B2D. RNAcentral's name for it is "tRNA-Ala". It matches the Rfam family "tRNA". Rfam says of the family: Transfer RNA (tRNA) molecules are approximately 80 nucleotides in length. The record is from RNAcentral. Lineage: Archaea; Methanobacteriati; Thermoplasmatota; Thermoplasmata. RNAcentral also lists the same sequence under 1 other name.
GGGAUGGUAGAUCAGUCUGGAAGGUCGCCACCUUCGCAAGGCGGAGGCCGCGGGUUCAAAUCCCGCCCAGUCCA